This 606-nucleotide ribosomal RNA is filed under the name uncultured bacterium. RNAcentral describes it as "bacterial SSU rRNA". It matches the Rfam family "Bacterial small subunit ribosomal RNA", at positions 202 to 806 of the family's 1533-position model. The record is from RNAcentral.
GAAAGGAGGAAUCCGGUGGCGGCUGGGCAUGCGGCGCAUUAGCUUGACGGCGGGGUAACGGCCCACCGUGGCGACGAUGCGUAGGGGUUCUGAGAGGAAGGCCCCCCACACUGGAACUGAGACACGGUCCAGACUCCUACGGGAGGCAGCAGUGAGGAAUAUUGGUCAAUGGGCGGAAGCCUGAACCAGCCAAGUCGCGUGAGGGAAUAAGGCCCUACGGGUCGUAAACCUCUUUUGCCGGGGAGCAAGGGCCGGGACGCGUCCCGGCCCGGAGAGUACCCGGAGAAAAAGCAUCGGCUAACUCCGUGCCAGCAGCCGCGGUAAUACGGAGGAUGCGAGCGUUAUCCGGAUUUAUUGGGUUUAAAGGGUGCGUAGGCGGGCUUUUAAGUCAGCGGUAAAAAUUCGGGGCUCAACCCCGUCCGGCCGUUGAAACUGGGGGCCUUGAGUGGGCGAGAAGAAGGCGGAAUGCGUGGUGUAGCGGUGAAAUGCAUAGAUAUCACGCAGAACCCCGAUUGCGAAGGCAGCCUUCCGGCGCCCUACUGACGCUGAGGCACGAAAGUGCGGGGAUCGAACAGGAUUAGAUACCCUGGUAGUCCGCACAGUAAA